This 233-nucleotide unclassified non-coding RNA is filed under the name Ambisporaceae sp. RNAcentral's name for it is "partial contains 5.8S ribosomal RNA and internal transcribed spacer 2". The stretch from base 1 to 71 matches the Rfam family "5.8S ribosomal RNA", at positions 84 to 154 of the family's 154-position model. Lineage: Eukaryota; Fungi; Glomeromycota; Glomeromycetes; Archaeosporales; Ambisporaceae. The record is from RNAcentral.
GUGAAUCAUCAAAUCUUUGAACGCAUAUUGCACUCUCUGGUAUUCCGGAGAGUAUGCCUAUUUGAGGGUCAUUUGAAAUAAUAUAAAUUCCAAGAUUUCUCGGAAUUUAAAAUGGGGUGUCCAUUUUUUGUGGUCGCUUAAAAUACAAGAGAAGCUCAUUUUCUUGGGUUGGGUGAUACUUUCAGUUACCUCGAGACUUAAGCAGGAAUUAUCGGUGGUGUGGGGAAUUUUGC